This 35-nucleotide ribosomal RNA is filed under the name Enterocytozoon bieneusi. Its description in RNAcentral is "partial large subunit ribosomal RNA". The record is from RNAcentral. Lineage: Eukaryota; Fungi; Microsporidia; Enterocytozoonidae.
AGUAGGGUGCCAUCAAGAGGUGUAUUUUGAAAUAU